This 445-nucleotide ribosomal RNA is filed under the name uncultured bacterium. Its description in RNAcentral is "bacterial SSU rRNA". It matches the Rfam family "Bacterial small subunit ribosomal RNA", at positions 60 to 524 of the family's 1533-position model. The record is from RNAcentral.
AGUCGAACGGACUUAAUGAGCUUGCUUAUUAAGUUAGUGGCGCACGGGUGAGUAAUAUAUAGCUAACCUGCCCUUUAGUGGGGGACAACAGUUGGAAACGACUGCUAAUACCCCAUACUCCUUCUGAUCUUAAGAUCAGUUGGGAAAGAUUUAUCGCUAAAGGAUGGGGCUUUAUUGUAUCAGCUAGUUGGUGGGGUAAUGGCCCACCAAGGCAAUGACGCAUACCUGGUCUGAGAGGAUGAUCAGGCACACUGGAACUGAGACACGGUCCAGACUCCUACGGGAGGCAGCAGUGGGGAAUAUUGCACAAUGGAGGAAACUCUGAUGCAGCAACGCCGCGUGGAGGAUGACGCAUUUCGGUGUGUAAACUCCUUUUAUAGGGGAAGAUAAUGACGGUACCCUAUGAAUAAGCACCGGCUAACUCCGUGCCAGCAGCCGCGGUAAU